UUACGGCCAUAUCAUGUUAAACACCGGUUCUCGUAAGAUCAACGAAGUUAAGCAACGUCGAGCCUGGACAGUACCUAGAUAGGUGACAACUUGGGAAUACAAAGUGUUGUAAG
Acanthosepion pharaonis is the source of this 113-nucleotide non-coding RNA. The record is from the annotation of a GenBank genome assembly. Lineage: Eukaryota; Metazoa; Mollusca; Cephalopoda; Sepiida; Sepiidae.